RNA transcript from Centrocercus urophasianus (Greater sage-grouse), 2802 nucleotides. It is a transcript of the gene named ribonuclease L, with no coding region annotated. The transcript has 6 exons. Lineage: Eukaryota; Metazoa; Chordata; Aves; Galliformes; Phasianidae. The record is from RefSeq and is a predicted model, not a curated record.
GGGUGGGGUGUCAGUGAAAUACAGUGUUCAGUUACUGCUUUGUGGUUUGGGGAAGAGAGGGUGGGAGCCAUACUAGAAUGGGGUCUUAGUCUUUCCCGAGGGUACACUGCUGUGAAUUUAAACUUUGGCUUCUUGCAUAAAAACUGCUCUGCCCCUUUUCUGAUUAGUUCAGAUUAAUUAUCUAGGAUUCUGCUUGUUAGGCAGGAGAGUGCCAGUUUCUGCCUGCGUCUGUGUUCUCCAACUGGAUGGGGAGAACAUCAGGGACCAGCUUACUGGGUAACCUGCAGGAAAUCCAUCAUUACUUUACUAACAAGAACAUCCUAAAUUCACCCCAUCCCUUCAUUCAGAUGUGCCAUUCUGCUUGUGUUGUGGCCAGUGAAAUGGGGCAAGCAAUGAGGAUGAGUGGGGAAUGUGUCCCCCAGUAAAUGUUGUAGUCAUGCUUGUUUCAGCUAGCAUUGGCAUUGCUAUCCUUAGUUGCUCCUCUCACAUCUGCAAGGCAUCAGUGUAAACGAUUAGGUUUCAUGGCUUAAUAAAAUAGGGUCUUCUGCUUAUUAAUUAGGUGAAGACCAUGAAGCCAAUAUCUCACCUAGUGCAUUCCAUCAGCCAGACCUGGAGCAUCCCUCUUGAUGAAGACAAUGAGUGUUGACUUAACCUGUUCUUCACUGAGAUCUCUGGAUCUUUGAUGUUUGCUUGGUGAGGAACACCAGGGUACAGAGUCCUCCCUGUGAUCAUCAUGGAGCCCAGAGCCCACAUUCAGAAGGAGGCAUCUAGCAUGCAGAGAGCAGAAAACAUUGCCUCUGAGUUAAAUGAUGCUUUGCGAUAUGGCCAGAGGGAAAAGGUACUGGAGCUGCUGGAAAAUGGGGCAGAUGUGAACUCCAAAGUAGAAUUUGGAUGGACACCGCUUCAAAGUGCUGUGCAAUCUGGUGACAAGGAGAUGGUCCAACUUUUGCUGGCCAAAGGUGCGUGCCCAUACACCAGGAAGGAUAAUGGUGGCACUGCGUUUAUUGAGGCAGCGAUGGUGGGAGACGUGGAAAUACUGGAGCUCCUUUUUGGUUGUGGGUUUAACGUUAAUGACAGUGACGAUAAUGGAUUCACUGCUUUCAUGGAAGCUGCUCUGUAUGGGAAGGAGGAAGCCUUGAGGUUCCUGCACAGCAAAGGAGCAGAUGUGAAUUUGAGGAGGACAGCCAGUGAGGAGAAGAAGAAACUGAGCAAGGGAGGGAAGACUGCACUGAUGGAUGCUUGUCUGGGAGGCCACUUCUCAGUGGUAAAAACCCUUAUCCAGGAGAUGGGGGCUGAUGUGAACAUUUGUGACAAUGAAGGUAGGAAUGCCUUGAUCCAUGCCCUCAAAGAUAAUGUAAGGGGAAAAAAUGAGUCAGAUGUCUUUGAAAUAGGCCGUUUCCUGCUGGAACGUGGUGUUGAUGUCAACUGCAAAGAUGAAGCUGGCAAAACUGCCCUCAUUCUAGCUGUGCAAAGGAAGAAUACAAGUUUGGUGGAAGCUCUGUUGGACAGGGAUGACAUAAAAAUUGAUGAAGCAGGUGAGGAUGGCCGAACAGCUCUGGCAGUGGCUGUAGAGAAAAACACAUAUGAUAUAGCAGAGAUGCUGUGUAAGAAAGGUGCAAGGACUGACACUGGGGAACUUGUUGCUGUUGCAAAUAGGAACCGUGCUAGUGAAAUGGCAUGCCUUCUUCUGAAGUAUAACACCAUGUUUGUUCCAACAAAACCUGACAAGUGGGAGCCAAAGAGCAAACGUUGGAGGCACCAGCUGCAAAGUCUUCAUAAGAUGUAUCGCCCCAUGAUUGGCAAAUUAAAAGUAUUUCAGCACGCCUCUCAGAGAAUUCAGGACAACAUCUACCUUGGGCUCUAUGAUGAGAUGGAGGUGGCAGUAUGGAUACACCACCGUGCAGAAGGUGUCAAGGAGAAAACAUUCCUUGGCCUAUGUGGGAGCUGUGAACAUCUACUGAAGCUCUUCCAAUCUGAACAAGAAAAGGGCUGCAUGUAUUUGUGCUUCCCUCUCUGGGAGAAAAACCUCGAAGAACAUCUGCAGGACCCGGAAGACCAAAAGGAUCCCAAAGGCAUCCUGAAGAUGAUCUUCCAGGCAGUGAGAGAGCUGCACUCACUCGGGUUUGCUCACCAGUCUCUGCAUCCCAAGAACUUCUUGAUAGAUUUAGGUGGCAAAAUUUACUUGACAGAUUUUGAUAGCACCAGAAAGCUGACUGAAGGCAAAACUGAAGUUAUCAACAAAGACUUAGAGAACCUCAGCAAGCUCAUGCUGUAUGUUUUAACAGGGGGUAGGAAACCCCUUAAUGAAGUCAGUACGAAGGAUAUGGAUGCGGGUUCCAUGGAUUAUGAGGAGGCUUUGGACCUUAUUGAUAGCCUGGCCUCUCAUGAUGAACGGGGCUUGGAAGAUCUGAGCGAGCACCCCUAUUUCUGGAGCAAACAGAAGAAGUUCAAUGUCCUAAAGAAUAUAUGGAAUAAAAUCAAAGAUCUGACUGAUGAUGAUAAAGAGGAUGCUUUUACCACUCUUAAUGCUGGAAAACCUAUUCUUUACCCAAACUGGAUUAAGCAGACCUGUAGAUGUUUAUAAUCAACCGUGCCACGUUGACAGUCCUAAUAUGAAUGCUAUGCCUCAGCCAGGCAGGAUCAGGGAGUCUGUAUGGUGUGCUUCCUGCAGAGCUCAUGUUGGUCAAGUGCCACAGAGUGCAGCCAUGCAAGAUUGAUCGAGAGAUUCUGCGCAUCAUGACGAAUGUCGAUGGUAAAAAAAAAUUCUACGAGAAAAACAUCGCACACCUACUGAGAUUCAUC